Leptidea sinapis is the source of this 1769-nucleotide long non-coding RNA. RefSeq lists it as uncharacterized. The record is from RefSeq and is a predicted model, not a curated record. The transcript is spliced from 2 exons. Lineage: Eukaryota; Metazoa; Arthropoda; Insecta; Lepidoptera; Pieridae.
ACAUGUGUGCGAGUCAUUGAGUUAUGAAUUCAAACAGACAAAACUGAAAGGCGCAACGAAAGUGAAGGCGCGCGCUUGUCGCGCGCUCAGGGAGGAUGGAGCGUCGGUCGUCAAAAAUCGAUCUCUCGCACUCCCGAGGCGUCUCGUUUCCAAUCAGCGAAUGCGAGCGCGCUCUGAAUACAGAUGCUGGGACCCGAAAGAUGGUGAACUAUGCCUGGCCAGGUCGAAGUCAGGGGAAACCCUGAUGGAGGACCGUAGCGAUUCUGACGUGCAAAUCGAUCGUCGGGACUGGGUAUAGGGGUGAAAGACUAAUCGAACCAUCUAGUAGCUGGUUCCGUCCGAAGUUUCCCUCAGGAUAGCUGGCGUCGACUGGUAACAGUCUCAUCCGGUAAAGCGAAUGAUUAGAGGCAUUGGGGCCGAAACGACCUCAACCUAUUCUCAAACUUUAAAUGGGUGAGAACUCCGGCUUACUCGAACGAUGAAGCCGGAGAUCUGAUGACGGUGCCGAGUGGGCCAAUUUUGGUAAGCAGAACUGGCGCUGUGGGAUGAACCAAACGUAGUGUUAAGGCGCCUAAAAAACGCUCAUGGGACACCAUGAAAGGCGUUAGUCGCUCAUGACAGCAGGACGGUGGCCAUGGAAGUCGGAAUCCGCUAAGGAGUGUGCAACGACUCACCUGCCGAAGCGACCAGCCCUGAAAAUGGAUGGCGCUGAAGCGUUUUGCCUAUACACUAUCGUUACCGGCAAUCGGCGCGUGCGUGUCAAAGCGCACGCGUAUUAUGCCGUAACGAGUAGGACGUGCGCGGCGGAGUGCGCAGAAGGGUCUGGGCGUGAGCCCGCCUGGAGCCUCCGUCGGUGCAGAUCUUGGUUGUAGUAGCAAAUACUCCAGCGAGGCCCUGGAGGACUGACGUGGAGAAGGGUUUCGCGUGAACAGUAGUUGCUCGCGAGUCAGUCGAUCCUAAGCUCAAGGAGAGAUCUUAUGUCGAUGCGGCGUGUUUAUAUAUAUUUUGUGUAUAUGAUAAAUAACGCCCUUUGUGGCAAAAGGGAAUCCGAUUCCUAUUCCGGAACCCGGCAGCGGAACCGUUUCAAUAAUCGUUCUCUCGUUUCUCAAGCGAGUGUUCGACGGGGUAACCCAAAGUGGCCUGAAGACGCCGCCGAGUGGUCCGGGAAGAGUUUUCUUUUCUACCUGAGCGUUCGAGUUCCAUGGAAUCCUAUAGAAGGGAGAUAUGGUUCGGAACGCGAAGAGCACCACAUUUGCGGCGGUGUCUGGAUACUCUCUGCGGACCUUGAAAAUUCAGGUGAGGGAUGUACGUGGAGAUGUCGCGCCGGCUCGUACCCAUAUCCGCAGCAGGUCUCCAAGGUGAAGAGCCUCUAGUCGAUAGAAUAAUGUAGGUAAGGGAAGUCGGCAAAUUGGAUCCGUAACUUUGGAAUAAGGAUUGGCUCUGAGGACCGGGGCGUGUCGGGUUUGGACGGGAAGUGGAUGCGGCCGGUGCCGGGCCUGGUCGAUGCUCGCGCGUGUCUCCAUCGCAAGGUGGUCUCGCGCGUCGUGCUGAAUCCGGACCCGCGUUCCGGCCUUUCGCGGAUCUUCCUAGCCGUAAGUCCGCGUUGGUUUCGUCUCGUGCGCGAUCGGCGCGGUACUGUACGACCGCCGUUCAACGGUCAGCUCAGAACUGGCACGGACAAGGGGAAUCCGACUGUCUAAUUAAAACAAAGCAUUGCGAUGGCCCUCGCGGGUGUUGACGCAAUGUGAUUUCUGCCCAGUGCUCUGAAU